AACCAUUCUCACCUGCGGCUAGACCUGCGGAGGGAUCAUUACUGAGUUUUCAACUCUCCAAACCAUGUGAACUUACCACUGUUGCCUCGGUGGACUGGUGCUGCUCCCUCUCGGGGGUGCGGUGCUGCCGCCGGCGGACAAACUAAACUCUUGUUAAUUUUGGGCAUUCUGAAUCAAAUCAAGAAAUAAGUUAAAACUUUCAACAACGGAUCU
RNAcentral lists this unclassified non-coding RNA (213 nucleotides) under soil metagenome. Its description in RNAcentral is "partial contains 5.8S ribosomal RNA, internal transcribed spacer 2, and large subunit ribosomal RNA". The record is from RNAcentral.